This is a long non-coding RNA of Gopherus flavomarginatus (Mexican gopher tortoise), 501 nucleotides long. RefSeq lists it as uncharacterized. Lineage: Eukaryota; Metazoa; Chordata; Testudines; Testudinidae. The transcript is spliced from 2 exons. The record is from RefSeq and is a predicted model, not a curated record.
AUUGUUAGGCCUGAAUAAAGAUAUAGCAGACAAAACCAGGUAUGCCAACCUGACCAAAGUCAGGCUAACAGAGGUUUCUGGGAAAUUCUUGAGUGGAAAAUACUGAGAAGCAGCAUGUCUCACAAAGAGCUGGGAAAAAGUGAGAUAAGGGAGGGGCUGCAUUCCUGGCAUAGUACCAGCUGUGCUAUGUUAGGAACAGUUCCCUCCUUGCUUUCACUCCCUGGUUCUGUUCUCUGUCUGUUUUUAAUUCCCCUACAUUUCUAACUUCUGGUGCUUGUUAAGAUAUUAUUAAUCAUCUAAUGUUGUAAAACAUGUAUACUAAAGGUGUCUAGUUUCUAGUUGUUAGAAGAAGGGAAUGGGUUGCUCAAGUGAAUAAUCUAUGACGCGACGGAACUGUUUAUAUAGGCUUAUACUAAGACCUAAAGAGGAAGCUGGUUCUCUCUGGAGAUGAGUUGCUCUCUAUUGUCAUGUGCACUCUUCAAUAAAGAGCUUUUGAUCGGA